ACUCCUGCGGGAGGCAGCAGUGGGGAAUAUUGGACAAUGGGCGCAAGCCUGAUCCAGCCAUGCCGCGUGAGUGAUGAAGGCCCUAGGGUUGUAAAGCUCUUUUGUGCGGGAAGAUAAUGACGGUACCGCAAGAAUAAGCCCCGGCUAACUUCGUGCCAGCAGCCGCGGUAAUACGAAGGGGGCUAGCGUUGCUCGGAAUCACUGGGCGUAAAGGGUGCGUAGGCGGGUCUUUAAGUCAGGGGUGAAAUCCUGGAGCUCAACUCCAGAACUGCCUUUGAUACUGAAGAUCUUGAGUGCGGGAGAGGUGAGUGGAACUGCGAGUGUAGAGGUGAAAUUCGUAGAUAUUCGCAAGAACACCAGUGGCGAAGGCGGCUCACUGGCCCGAUACUGACGCUGAGGCACGAAAGCGUGGGGAGCAAACAGGAUUAGAUACCCUAGUAGUCCC
Molecule: ribosomal RNA, 445 nt
Filed under: uncultured organism
Description: partial 16S ribosomal RNA
Rfam family: Bacterial small subunit ribosomal RNA
Source: RNAcentral